AUUGAACGCUGGCGGCAGGCUUAACACAUGCAAGUCGAACGAGUGGCGGACGGGUGAGUAAUGUCUGGGAAACUAGCUUAUGGAGGGGGAUAACUACGGGAAACUGUAGCUAAUACCGCGUACCAUAGGAUGAGCCCAAGUGGGAUUAGGUAGUUGGUGGGGUAAAGGCUCACCUAGCCGACGAUCUCUAGCUGGUCUGAGAGGAUGACCAGCCACACUGGGACUGAGACACGGCCCAGACUCCUACGGGAGGCAGCAGUGGGGAAUAUUGCGCAAUGGGGGCAACCCUGACGCAGCCAUGCCGCGUGAAUGAAGAAGGCCUUCGGGUUGUAAAGUUCUUUCAGCGGGGAGGCGUUACCCGCAGAAGAAGCACCGGCUAACUCCGUGCCAGCAGCCGCGGUAAUUC
RNAcentral lists this ribosomal RNA (406 nucleotides) under uncultured bacterium. RNAcentral's name for it is "partial 16S ribosomal RNA". It matches the Rfam family "Bacterial small subunit ribosomal RNA", at positions 30 to 526 of the family's 1533-position model. The record is from RNAcentral.